CAGGAAGAGAUGGAGCGGCAGAGAGAGAGUUACCAGAGAGAGAUGACAGGCCUGAGAACAGACAAACAGAGACUGGAGGAGAAGGUUCUAGAGCUCAACCGACAGACCCAAGAGAACACCGACAGAAACGUUCUAGAACACAACCAAGAGAACACCGACAGAAACGUUCUAGAACACAACCAAGAGAACACAGACAGAAACGUUCUAGAACACAACCAAGAGAACACCGACAGAAACGUUCUAGAACACAACCAAGAGAACACCGACAGAAACGUUCUAGAACACAACCAAGAGAACACCGACAGAAACGUUCUAGAACACAACCAAGAGAACACAGGCAGAAACGUUCUAGAACACAACCAAGAGAACACAGACAGAAACGUUCUAGAACACAACCAAGAGAACACCGACAGAAACGUUCUAGAACACAACCAAGAGAACACCGACAGAAACGUUCUAGAACACAACCAAGAGAACACAGGCAGAAACGUUCUAGAACACAACCAAGAGAACACCGACGAGAGAAUCCGGUCAGAGUGUGAGGAGCGCCUGAGGGCGGAAUUUAAAGCGGAGCUUGACGCGGCUGUUGCCGCGAGCAACCAGAGAGAGCAGGAGCUGCAGACUCAACUAGCCGAUCUCCAAUCACAGGUGGAGAGGAAGGCGGGGCCAGCAGAGGGUCACCAUGACGACAGUGAGAUUGACAGGCUGCGAAGGGAGGUGCAGGAAACCAGAGACAUGAACCAGAGACUGAGAGAACAGCUGCAGGAGGAACACUCUGAAGAACGACACUCGGCGGCGUUGCAGGCUCUGGAGAGACGAGCUCAGGAAGACCUGCAGACAGAGAGGAACAGACUACACACACUACACCUGUUACAGCUAGAUAAGCAGGGUACAGAGCUGAGCCAGCAGUACACAGAGUGGAGUAGACAGUUGACCCAGAGACAUAUGAAACACAUUGAAGACCUGCAGACUGAACUACACACACACACCGAGAUGAUGGCCCUGC
This 1006-nucleotide long non-coding RNA is filed under the name Salmo salar (Atlantic salmon). RNAcentral's name for it is "lncRNA (ENSSSAG00000099560.1)". The record is from RNAcentral. Lineage: Eukaryota; Metazoa; Chordata; Actinopteri; Salmoniformes; Salmonidae.